UACGUAGGGGGCAAGCGUUGUCCGGAAUUAUUGGGCGUAAAGAGCGCGUAGGCGGUCCGAUAAGUCGGCUGUGAAAGUCAUGGGCUCAACCCAUGAAAGCCGGCCGAUACUGUCGGACUAGAGUCCGGAAGAGGCGAGUGGAAUUCCCGGUGUAGCGGUGAAAUGCGCAGAUAUCGGGAGGAACACCAAUGGCGAAGGCAGCUCGCUGGGCCACACCUGACGCUGAGACGCGAAAGCUAGGGGAGCGAACAGG
Molecule: ribosomal RNA, 253 nt
Filed under: uncultured bacterium
Lineage: Bacteria
Description: partial 16S ribosomal RNA
Rfam family: Bacterial small subunit ribosomal RNA
Source: RNAcentral